Bactrocera oleae (olive fruit fly) is the source of this 146-nucleotide non-coding RNA. NCBI's taxonomy places the organism in Eukaryota, Metazoa, Arthropoda, Insecta, Diptera, Tephritidae. The record is from RefSeq and is a predicted model, not a curated record.
AUGGCGGCUGCAGUCAAAGCAACGGAGGAAAGGUGGAAUGAAAGGAUGUCGGUGGUAGUCAAAGCAACGGAGGAAAGGUGGAAUGAAAGCGUGUCGGCGGAAGUCAAAGCAACGGAGGAAAGGUGGAAUGAAAGGCUGUCGGCGGA